This is a long non-coding RNA of Alligator sinensis (Chinese alligator), 4726 nucleotides long. RefSeq lists it as uncharacterized. Lineage: Eukaryota; Metazoa; Chordata; Crocodylia; Alligatoridae. The transcript has 2 exons. The record is from RefSeq and is a predicted model, not a curated record.
UCGAUUCGCACCUUUCUAUUGGUCUCCUGAUUCGAUAUGUAUUCAGAGAUUCAGCCGCCAAAUUGGGCCAAACCUUCUCUGAAUCGAAUCAGCACCUGAAGCUUCGCACAGCCCUACAAACUACCUAUGCAUUAACUUCCUUUAGCAAGGGAUCUAUUACUAGAUUUAGAUAACAUGUCAAACAGGUGAGCAGCAAGCUGAGGAACACAAUUGUCAGUUCCCCAAGCCAUCCAAUCACACCUCCAAAUCUAUUGCAUAAGGAAGAAAUGGAUUAACAACUAUCAUAAAACUGUUUAUAGAUGUUUCUAAGUUAACUGAUAACUCAAUUGUCUUUGUAGAUGUGCUCUGACACCAGAUUCUCUCGUGCUGGAUGGGUAAAAGACCUCUACCUCAAAAGUUUAAACUCUUCUACACAGAAAGGAGCGCUUCUUCUUGGUUCUAUUUAAGAUAGCAAUUUCAAGUACCCAGCAAUCACUUCCUGCCCCCCUGGGCUCAUACUCCAGCUUGUUCUUUAGUGUCUAAUUUAACAGUAGACACAAUAUUCACAUAAUAAAUUGAGAUGACAGUGGCAGUACAAUUACAGAAGACCAAAAUAUACACCAUUGAGUUAUGUCCUGGUUGCUUCCAAUCCAUCCACACCAUCACAGGAUACUUUCUACCUUAGCUUAAAAGGUCAGAAAAAGGAAGUUCAAGCAGUCUGAAAGGGGACCACACAGCAGCGACACAGGGAUUAAGCUACACAGCACAAAUGACUUGAUCUUACUGCAGAAAAAACAUGUUUGUUUGUUUUUUUAAUAAAAACUAAUAUGGCCUUGAGCAUAGAAUUGAGAGAACAUUGAAAAAAAAUAUCAUCUGAUAUAUUUAGAAAACUCUGCUAGGAGUCUUAUGUUGCUUGCUCCUCAUUUAAAUGUUGUGCUUCUCUAAACAAUUAAACUAGCUCUGAAUAAGAAUCUGCAAGAUUUAAUGUGUACAUCUGAGGUUGAGUCUACAGGCCCAGCCAAAAACACACCGCUGUUUCUAUAAAAAGGUUGACGGCUUCCCUUUCAUCUUCUCUAAGCCUGAAAAGUUAGUACAGGCAUCCUCUCUAUUAAAAGGGAUAGCAGAGGGCUCCAGUUCACAGGUUGACCAAAAAGGAAUAAAAGUACAUGAUUGCAAGAAUAACUGUGUCAAGUACCAUAUUUACAGCACGCACCUUUUUCCCCAAAACUCAACACCCCAAAAUUGGGGUGUGUACAUGAAGCAAGGAAGCUGAUUUUCUGCCUACGGUGGGAAACAUCCUGGUUUGAUUCCGGCUGUACAGUGCAGCAGCUGUGGUAUUACUGUUCAGGGUGCUGAGAGUCAAUGAACUUAAUGGCUCAUUGUUCUUCACUCUACAGAUGUUGACAAUAAUCUCUCCUUUUUAAUGGUCUCCAUGUUCCACUAAUCAAACUAACCUCUCUCCCUUUGUUCGAGCCAUUUUGCUAUCACCUAGCUGCUCCUGAUCUCUAUUUCACAGCUUAUUUAUUAGCUCAUUUCAAAAAUCAUCUCUCUCACAUGGAGACCAGUGUUCAGGAGCAGCUAGGGAUUCAACUUUAGUUAUGGAGGAAAGGAAGGGUGAAUCACCUGAAGAUUACACUCAGUCCCUGCUCUAUGCAGCCAUAAUCCUGGGGAAAAAAACGUUAUUUUUUUUAAAUUCUAUCUUUCAAAAACAAAGUGUGUAUUAUAUUUGAGGGUGUAUGUACGUGAAAUGUAUGGUAUCUUUUAUUCUUCAGAAAAGAAGGCAUUCAGUUAGCAAUUCAGAACACUGAGUGGAGAAAGGGGAUGGAUGAAAGAGAAUGACUUUAGGAGUGUUUUAGGCUAGGUAUUUAUUGCUUCCUAACAGUAUUACAACCUAUUGUUCCUAUUCCCAAUCAACUGAUUUAGGCCUAUAAAUUAGCGAUCAAGCCAUGUUUUAAAUUGUGGCUGGAAACUGCAUACCACCUUUGCCAGUGUUUAUCAAUUCACCGUAAUUACUGAUGUGGCAAUUGUUCACUUAAAGGUGCCAACAUGGGAGCUUGAGAUACAUCCUUGAUUGCAACUGCAAUGCCCAACUUCCAUAUUUAUAUGCAUGUUCUAAUUUUUUCCCUAAAAUAUACACACAUUCUUUAAAAUAAACAAACACCCAAACAUACUAGUUCCUUUCCAGCAUUCAUUACAAACAUCUGCCUCUAUAAGGUGAGAAAGGAAAGCUUUUCUGGAUGGUAUCAAAAGCCUUGACAGGUAUAGAGUCAUCUUAUUUUGAACUGCACUUCCUACUUCUAAUGAAGACAGCUGUGUUUUCUACUACCCCAAAUAGAAGUCAUAGUGGGGGAACAGUCUGGAGGUUUAUCCCUCAAGUUCAAAAGCUAAAGUUUUCAGUUGUGGCCACUGAUUUUAGGUGCCCAAUUUGAGAGUCCUUGGUCUGAUUUUCAAAGGCAAUGAGCAAUCUGCAAUUUUAAUAUCCAACAAGCUUAACACUCUAAAUGGUUUGAGGAAAUUAAAAAAAACCCAAGUGUAUAAAUGCCUCUACCAAAUUUUACACAUUCCAUGUAUUCUUGGGGGUCUAUCCAGCUUAUGGAAUUAAAAAGAAAAGUGCCACACAUCUCUGGUUAAGACUGGUGCAAGUUUGAAAAUAGACAUGCUUAAGAUUCAAGCAUUCGACAUGAUAUGAAACAAAGAUCUGAUUAAAAGAAAUGGCACUACCUAUUACUAUUUAUAUUGCAGCCCCGGUCAUGGAUUAGGACCGCAUUGCGAGAGAGACUGUACAAACAGAGCACAAAAAGACAUUCCUUGCCUCAAAUACCUUGGAAAUAUUAAGAUAUACCUUUGGCCAGCUGCAAUGAAAUCCUUCACUUCUAGACAGCUCAUGAUUUUUUUCUCUCAUCUCAGUGAGUCAGUCUUUAAUUUCAGAUAUCUUGCUGCCAUCACCUGCCUAACUGCCACUGCUUUAGUGCCUUUGAAGAGCCUGACUGACCACACCACGCUUCCUCCUCUCUUACAGUGGUGGUCUCCAGUGUCUGUCAGGAAAGACCUAGGGUCUCCAUCCCAAAUGUAAAAUCAAUUAAAUUAAUGGCUUUUAACCAUUUUGGUUUCUCUUCUCUUGUCCUCACAAAACCAUUCCCCACUCAAAAGGCUACCUAAAGUAACUACUGAACUGAUAUAUCUUACUAGGGGCUGGAGGUAUAAACUUGACUCAAGCUCAAUCUGCUUUUAAAAAAAAGAGUUUUUUAUAUAUAAAUUCUACUCUUCAUUAAUGACUCAUGGACAAAUUAAUCAAUCAGUCAAGGGCAGCCCCAGAAACGUAUGUUAGUUCUCAACAGGUAGUUCUUUGUUACAAGAUCCAGUGAAUAUGUGAACUUAAAUGGUGGGGGAAAAGGGCUGCAUUUGUUUUCUAUAGAUGAUAAUACAUCAGCAUUAAGCAUAUUAAUUGAAGGUUUAAUGGAUUACUACCUCUUCUUGCUCUUUAGAUCAUAGAAUCAUAGAAGUAGGGUUGGAAGGGACCUUGUAGAUCUUCAAGUCCAACCCCCUGCCUGGACAGGGAGAAAACUGGGCUCAAAUGACCCCAGCCAGGUAGGCAUCGAGCCGCUUCUUAAAGACCCCCAGGGUAGGAGCCAGCACCACUUCCCUUGGAUGUCAAGGGAUGAAAAUCACCAGCUGAAAGCUGGGACAAAAUGAAUUUUACAUUAACUAUCAAAGGAUUAAAAUUUUCCUGAUCUGUAUGCAUCUAUACAUUUGGAAAAACAAAUUAGCAGAUAAGCUAUACUAAAUUGUCUUGAUGUUGAGAAACAGAAAUAGCAUCUUAUUAUAUACAAUACAGAACUGUAAGUUGAACUAAGCAAGAAUGAAUGAAGCUUUUUACACUUAAUAAUGCUAAAGAGCUGGGCUGGGGAUAAGAUAUAUUAAUAGUUCAUGACUGUAGCUAAUGACAGAGUUAUGGCAAUUAAAUUCAAAUGAAGUAUCAUCCAUUUGUCUUUCCAGAAGCAUGAUAAAUUUAGGUUAUCGUACAGGUAAGUGCAAGCAUAUAAUGCAUAGGGAACAGCUCAUAUCAUCUGCCUUAAAAAUGCCAAAAUUGAAUGUUUUUUGUUGUCAUGGUCCACUUGCUAAGCUCAAUCGACAAUUUGUGCAUUUUUGGCAUAAGUGUUAAUGCAACAAAGAGAACCCAUUUCUGAUAACAGAGAAGAUGUGUGCAAAACUUAAUUCUCCCUCAAUCAACCUAUGAGUGCCGGACUUGCACUGGAAUUACAGGCAUUUUUACAUGUGCUCUGGGGGUAAAGGAGAGGUCCACUCUAAAGCACCACAGCGUCUUGUGUACAAGUGUCUUACUCAAUGAACUUUAGUUCAAGCGCUGCCAUUGCCAUUUUGAAGCAUGGGGAUGCCAAUACAUGAGAUGCAGAGGCUGGCUGGAGCACAGUAAUUACCAUGCUCCAGCAGACUUGAUUAAUCAAGCCUGCUCUAGCAUACUGUAAUUACAGCAUGUCAGAGGAGCCUCUGUGUUCAUGUAUAGGCACUAGGCCUGUACGAAACAGCUAGUAUUCGCUUUGGAUUCAGAUUUGGCCAAUUUGGGGGACAGCGAUUCGAUUCAGUGAUUCGAAUCACCGUCUCGAAUUGAUUCAGCCAAAUCUGAUUCGGAGAUUCAGCCACUGCCGAAUUCAACAGGCCCCUUUUUCAUAAAUGGCUGCCCCACCCGGCCCCAGCCUCCUGGCUCUUUAAAAAAAAAAAAAAAAAAAAA